GGCCGGUUGGCAGAGUGGUUAUGCAGCGGAUUGCAAAUCCGUGUACGCCGGUUCGAUUCCGACAUCGGCCUCCA
RNAcentral lists this transfer RNA (74 nucleotides) under Pseudomonas sp. RNAcentral's name for it is "tRNA-Cys". It matches the Rfam family "tRNA". From Rfam's summary of the family: Transfer RNA (tRNA) molecules are approximately 80 nucleotides in length. Their secondary structure includes four short double-helical elements and three loops (D, anti-codon, and T loops). Lineage: Bacteria; Pseudomonadati; Pseudomonadota; Gammaproteobacteria; Pseudomonadales; Pseudomonadaceae. RNAcentral also lists the same sequence under 108 other names. The record is from RNAcentral.